UUGUUAACAAUUUCAUUCACAUGCCAUCUACUGCUUGGUUGAUCAUUGCAUUCAUUCUUUAUAACUGCAUACUAUAAUCAUAACAAUAACUAUGAUUCAAUUCCAGAUAAGUUGCGGCCGGUGAUAUGAAACCUAAGCAAUAACAAUGACUAUUUUGAAACAAUGAGAAUAAACCUUUAUGAUAUUAACAAUGUUAGGGUCAUUUUUGACAUAUACAUGAUACAACAUACUAUAAUAAAAAAAG
Molecule: long non-coding RNA, 244 nt
Filed under: Solanum tuberosum (potato)
Lineage: Eukaryota; Viridiplantae; Streptophyta; Magnoliopsida; Solanales; Solanaceae
Description: long non-coding RNA (STUB_LNC007162)
Source: RNAcentral